CCUGGGGCGGAAAUGGAUCAUUAGUGAGGAUGAUGCAGUUUCUCCACAGACUGUUCCAGAAGCCCUCCCCUUGGGUCAUGUGAGCUUUGGAGUUCCCCAGUGCCGGACACGGGAUUCGGGUGGGGGUCUGGCCCCCGAGUGAGUGCAGCCUCUGUGUUUGCCCACAUGAGCUUGUUUGUGUCAUGGGCCCGAGGCUCCCCGUUAUCUGUGUGUGCCGUGUCUGUGGCUGUAUAUCUGUGUGCCCCAGCCAGACCCAUCUUGUGUGUCCAUGCACUCCCAGGACAUGUUUGUCCGCCUGUGUCUGGGUGUGUCUGCGCUGUUUCCUGUGUGUAGCCAAGCGUGCCUGCCUGGGUCACAUGUCUGCGUGUGCCCGGGAGUCCUUUGUCCCUGUAGAUGUGCACAGAGAGCCUGGCAAGGCCCGUGUGGCGUGUGGGUGACCUUUGCCUGGGAUCUAAAGUGGAACUGCGUGGGCCAUCGAUUUGUGACCCUGCACUGUGGACUGACUUGUGUUGUGGGUCUAUGUUGUGUCUCACAUGAGUUGUGUGUUUGACAACAUCUGGGUUUGAGUCCCAGGGUCACCUCCCUUCCCCAAACACCAGGGUCUCCCUUUUCCAGGAAGUCCUGCCCACAUCUUCCCCUCCUCCCCACCCCCCAUUCCCCACAGGAGGAACCCAGGCGGGGCAGCUGGUGACACACCACGUGACCACCGAUUUUUGACCCUCACACACUCAGCAGCUGCUUGCAGGCCUCCCAGUGCCGGCUGCCCUGAGAGUAGGCAGGAACCUGUAAUCACAAGUGGAGGGUGAGAAAAAUAACACCCAGCAAACACCCAAAUUGAGUGAUAUUCUACAGAAUACCUGACCUGUAUUUGCAAAAAUGCACCAGUCCUGGAGAAGAAAAAUUAGAGGAGUGGCCAUAGAUUGCAGCAGAUUAAGGAGACAUGAGGACAAAUUGAAAUGUGGGAUCCUGGACCAAAAAAGGGCCAAUUGUGGAAAGACUGGUAACAUCCAAAUAAAGCCUGAAUUUCAGUGGAGUACCCUGCACCACCUUUUGCCACUUUUCUGGAAAUCUAAAAAUAUCCUAAAAUUAAAAAAAAAGUUUUCUUUUAAAAAGGGGACUGGUCCAAGAAACCUAAAAUUUUAUUCAACAUGUAUUGAACACCCACUGUAUUCCCAGUACUGGCUGACCCAGCAGUGAACAAGACAGACAGGAAAACCUGCUCUGUUGGGGCAGGGAAAUUUAUACUCUAGCUGUUAAUUACUUUCCUUUCUUUGGGGAUAGGGUGGGGCAUUCUCUUUCCAUUUUAUAUUUUAUGUGCUGUUUGGAUUUUUGGCCUGAAAAGUAUUGUUAGUCAUUUUGCUAGACGUCCUCUUGACAUAUCUAUAUGUUAAAAUGUAAACCCAGGAAACAAAGAUCUCAUUUCAGA
This is a long non-coding RNA of Mustela erminea (ermine), 1426 nucleotides long. RefSeq lists it as uncharacterized. The record is from RefSeq and is a predicted model, not a curated record. The transcript is spliced from 2 exons. Lineage: Eukaryota; Metazoa; Chordata; Mammalia; Carnivora; Mustelidae.